UAGCCAAACAAGAGCCAGAGGGCCUGAGA
RNAcentral lists this non-coding RNA (29 nucleotides) under Homo sapiens (human). Lineage: Eukaryota; Metazoa; Chordata; Mammalia; Primates; Hominidae. The record is from RNAcentral.